RNAcentral lists this long non-coding RNA (2219 nucleotides) under Marmota monax (woodchuck). Lineage: Eukaryota; Metazoa; Chordata; Mammalia; Rodentia; Sciuridae. The record is from RNAcentral.
GGCGCGGAGCCUGGCCCUAAGGGCUCCUCCCGGCCUGUGGAGGGCUUGGAGGACCCCCUGGGGCGGCUACUGUCGGCUGCCCAAAACUACUGGCUACUCUGCACGUAAUUCGACUUUCUGGUGAACCUGUCGGUGGGAGCACAGUCCCUUCCAUUCCAGGGGUCACAGAAUAAUCCGCGUCGCUCAUUCUCAGCCGCACUGGGUUUCGACCUACGGUCUCUAAAUUUAGUUCCCAGGUGCAAGAAAUUGCUGUACAGGACCGUGCCCUCCGACCACCUCAGGGAGGACUCUCUUUUGGGAAAAGUAAGCUAAAACCAAUUGUCAAGGAUUCACGAAUUAUCACUUUUUCAUCUCUCUGUAGGAUAAAUCAGUAAACUAGAUUUCGGCUCCUUUCUGAAUUGUCCCUGAAGUUUAAGGUAAAUGCUUCUGACAGAGGUCCCUGAGAGAGCCCUGUGUUUCUGUACCUUUAAUAUUAAGAUUCGGUUCAGGAUGUGUAAACCAGUUCCAGAAUGGAAAAGCUUUAAGUAUAGACAGAUUAACACACGUGACCAUGAGUCUGCUUUAGUAUCAGUUCAAUUUUCUGCAGUGUUCCCUUCUCAGCAAAAAAUUGUAAAGAAUGCCAUAAAAUACAUGCAGAUAAUGUUCAUGAUGAUCUAGAAGAACGUCUCCAAGUUCCAAACUGCUGUAUGGCUCCAUCAGCACAGGGUCUUUAAUGUCUAGGCUAUGCCUUUCACUUUUCUUUUCUAUUACUUUGCUUUAACUGUGGGUUUGUCCUAAUGCAAAUAUCCAAACCUAAGGAUGUAAAAACUGUGAAAUGACAAGAUUAAAGCCAUAGACAAUACAAAUGGAAAACUUGAAGGUGACGCAGAGUUAAAGAGAAGGAGUAGAUUAAUUUUUAAAAGUUGAUUGUUCUGAGAGGUCCAUAAAUUCAUUGAUUUUAUUUUAAAGACUACCUAGAUUCUUGGAAAUUCAAGAUUUAUUGUACCAAUAUAAUAUUGAUUUCUCUAUACACUCUAAUAUAAACUUUUUGAGAACAAGCUCUAUUUCUAAUUUAUUUUUGUUUCUUCAUAAUACCAGUGUUGUGCCAGUACUGUCAAAAAGUAUCAUAUGAUCACCAAAUCUCUCUAUUCUUCUUCCUCAGUACAGAGAUGCAUUACAUUCCCCAUCACACCUGCAGUUAGAUGUAGCCAUUAGGCUUAGCUCAUUAAAAACAAAACAAAACAGAACCAGAAAACCUUCCGCAAGCUAUCUUCCAUGCUCUUUCCCCUUUUCUGGCCAUAUGCUAAAGAUGCAGAACCACAAAUUAGGAGUUUGAGUUUCUGAACUACCCUUGGAGCCAUCUGCCCAAUAGGAAUACCAAUAUAGGACUUUAUGUGAGCAAAGUAAACUGUACAUAUUUUUAGUAGUAUUUAAUCAGACCAAAUUUUUGAAGACCAAGCAUACAAGAAAAAAUAAUGCUGGCAUUCAGUAAAAGAUGAGAAAUAUUGUUUAAACAAAAACAAACAGUAAUCAUUUUUGCUGCAAUCACAAUAAUGGCAUGAGUAGCCAAAGAAAACCCAUCUCCAAAGUUAAUCAAGUCUACUUUCUGGCGUUUUGUAUGGUGGGUCCUGUAAGCUGAUUUGAUAUUCCUCUUUCACCAGUGUACUUGUUUUCCUCUUGUUUAUUAAGGACAUAAAUGAAUAAAGUAUGUCUUUAAACUCAGGGUGUCUGCUCAUUAUCUUAUACAAAAAGUAUCAAUACAUUAGACAAUGCAGACAGAGGGAGAUUAUGGUAGAAUUUGGGAAAAAAAUAGAAGAGUUAAUUUUUACUAAAUAAGAGAUUAUUAACUAAGACUUUCCAAAAAAUUAGAAUGUAGUUGCAAAACAGUUAUAAAUCUAGAACCAUAAGUUAGAAGUAAUAGAAUUUUCCAUCCAUUAAUUUUAAACCAUCCAAUGCUAAUUUUUACAGAAUAAUGAAAAUGAGCCAGAUGCAGUGUACAACUGUAAUCUUAAUGGCUCAAGAAGCUGAGGCAGGAGGAUCACAAGUUCAAAGCCAGCCUCAGCAAGUUAGCAAGGCCCUAUGCAACUUAUUGAGACCCUGUCUCAAAUAAAAAGGGCUGGGGAUGUAGUUCGGUGGUUAAGCGCCUCUGGGUUCAAUCCCCAGUACUAAAAUAAUAAUAAUAAAAAAACUAAAUUAAAAGUAUAUGCUCUUAAAUCUCUGUAGAAUUUUUAAAUAUGAUG